This 28-nucleotide small RNA is filed under the name Bombyx mori (domestic silkworm). Its description in RNAcentral is "ovarian small RNA-33189". The record is from RNAcentral. Lineage: Eukaryota; Metazoa; Arthropoda; Insecta; Lepidoptera; Bombycidae.
UGAUUUCGAGUCGUGCCAUGUGAUACAG